CCUACGGGAGGCAGCAGUGGGGAAUUUUGGACAAUGGGCGCAAGCCUGAUCCAGCAAUGCCGCGUGCAGGAUGAAGGCCUUCGGGUUGUAAACUGCUUUUGUACGGAACGAAACGGUUCGCUUUAAUACAGUGGGCUAAUGACGGUACCGUAAGAAUAAGCACCGGCUAACUACGUGCCAGCAGCCGCGGUAAUACGUAGGGUGCGAGCGUUAAUCGGAAUUACUGGGCGUAAAGCGUGCGCAGGCGGUUUUGUAAGACAGAUGUGAAAUCCCCGGGCUCAACCUGGGACCUGCAUUUGUGACUGCAAGGCUAGAGUACGGUAGAGGGGGAUGGAAUUCCGCGUGUAGCAGUGAAAUGCGUAGAUAUGCGGAGGAACACCGAUGGCGAAGGCAAUCCCCUGGACCUGUACUGACGCUCAUGCACGAAAGCGUGGGGAGCAAACAGGAUUAGAUACCCUGGUAGUCCACGCCCUAAACGAUGUCAACUGGUUGUUGGGUCUUCACUGACUCAGUAACGAAGCUAACGCGUGAAGUUGACCGCCUGGGGAGGUACGGCCGCGAGUAGAACGUACAANAGAGUUAGACGGCGUGAGACGUGCCGACGGACGACGACGAGGGAGGAGG
This 624-nucleotide ribosomal RNA is filed under the name uncultured bacterium. Its description in RNAcentral is "bacterial SSU rRNA". The stretch from base 1 to 542 matches the Rfam family "Bacterial small subunit ribosomal RNA", at positions 338 to 873 of the family's 1533-position model. The record is from RNAcentral.